Molecule: small nuclear RNA, 107 nt
Filed under: Carlito syrichta (Philippine tarsier)
Lineage: Eukaryota; Metazoa; Chordata; Mammalia; Primates; Tarsiidae
Source: RNAcentral
GUGCUCCCGAAGCGAGCACAUAUACUAAAACUGGAAUGAUACAGAGAAGAUUAGCAUAGCUCCUGUGCAAGGAUGGCAUGCAAAUUUGUGAAAUGUUCCAAUUUUUG